AACGAACGCUGGCGGCAUGCCUAACACAUGCAAGUCGAACGAGACCUUCGGGUCUAGCGGCGCACGGGUGCGUAACGCGUGGGAACCUGCCCUUAGGUUCGGAAUACCUCCCCGAAAGGGGUGCUAAUACCGGUUAAUGUCUUCGGACCAACGAUUUAUCGCCUUUGGAUGGGCCCGCGUUGGUUUCGCCGGUUGGUAGGGGACAAGCCUGCCAAGGCGGGGAUCCAUGGCUGGUAGGAGAGGAUGACCAGCCACACUGGGCAUGAGGCACGGACCAGACUGCGACGGGAGGGAGGAGAGGGGAAUAUAGGACGAUGGGGGAAGGUGUGAUAAAGCAGUGCGGCGUGAGUGAUGAAGGGCUUAGGGUUGUAAAGCUCUUUUAGCAGAGAUGAUAGUGACAGUAACGGGAGAAGAAGCACCGGCUAACUACGUG
RNAcentral lists this ribosomal RNA (433 nucleotides) under uncultured bacterium. Its description in RNAcentral is "partial 16S ribosomal RNA". It matches the Rfam family "Bacterial small subunit ribosomal RNA", at positions 29 to 507 of the family's 1533-position model. The record is from RNAcentral.